RNAcentral lists this ribosomal RNA (494 nucleotides) under uncultured bacterium. Its description in RNAcentral is "bacterial SSU rRNA". It matches the Rfam family "Bacterial small subunit ribosomal RNA", at positions 8 to 521 of the family's 1533-position model. The record is from RNAcentral.
AGAGUUUGAUCCUGGCUCAGAGUGAACGCUGGCGGCGUGCCUAACACAUGCAAGUCGAACGAUGAUGGAGAGCUUGCUCUCCUGAUUAGUGGCGCACGGGUGAGUAUACCAUAGAUAAUGUACCCCUUAGUUCGGGAUAGCCACUGGAAACGGUGAUUAAUACCGGAUACUCCUUCUCAUUAUAAGAUGAGUCGGGAAAGUUUUUUCGCUAAGGGAUCAGUCUAUGUCCUAUCAGCUAGUUGGUGAGGUAAUGGCUCACCAAGGCUAUGACGGGUAUCUGGUUUGAGAGGAUGAUCAGACACACUGGAACUGAGACACGGUCCAGACUCCUACGGGAGGCAGCAGUGAGGAAUAUUGCACAAUGGAGGAAGCUCUGAUGCAGCAACGCCGCGUGGAGGAUGACGCAUUUCGGUGUGUAAACUCCUUUUAAGAGGGAAGAUUAUGACGGUACCUCUUGAAUAAGCACCGGCUAACUCCGUGCCAGCAGCCGCGGU